CCGCAAAGCAUCUCACUCCGUAGUUACAAUUUUAGUCUUAUUACUAUUCUGGCCAUAGCAUUGCACCUCAUUUUUUUACUUCUCUUAAAUUAAGAAAUAGUACAAAUGGCCUUUUCUGUAGGGAAAUCUUUUGGACUUUCCACAACUUUUGAUCCCCUGCAACAAAAUAUUUUCAGUACUAAACCUUAUGUUUCAUCAUUUUUCUCCAAGAAAAUUACUCUACAAAAGUGUGACAAGGCCAAUAUUCUGUCCAAAAAGCCUCUGUAUAUUACAGCAGUGAGUGGAUUUGGGCAUGUUGAUGAAUCAAAAGAGUCAAAAUAUAGGGACAAAUUGGUCCAAUGCAAUGCUUAUGAAGCAAGCAGACCACAGUCAAUACCAAUUAGCAUUGAUUUUGAUCAAGAAACUCAAGCUGCUGCUGCUCAGAAGCUCAAGAUUGGGCUUUAUUUUGCAACAUGGUGGGCAUUAAAUGUGGUGUUCAAUAUUUAUAAUAAAAAGGUUUUAAAUGCCUUCCCAUUUCCAUGGCUUACUUCUACUCUUUCACUUGCUGCUGGCUCUCUCAUUAUGUUGGUUUCUUGGGCUACUAGAAUUGCUGAAACUCCCAAAACUGACAUUGAUUUUUGGAAAACUUUGUUUCCUGUUGCUGUGGCACAUACAAUUGGACAUGUGGCUGCAACAGUAAGCAUGUCAAAAGUUGCAGUUUCAUUCACACACAUAAUCAAGAGUGGAGAGCCUGCUUUCAGUGUUUUAGUUUCAAGUUUGCUGUUGGGUGAAACUUUCCCAUUGCCAGUUUACCUUUCACUUCUGCCAAUAAUUGGUGGUUGUGCACUUGCUGCUGUUACUGAGCUCAAUUUUAACCUAAUUGGGUUUAUGGGGGCAAUGAUAUCAAACUUGGCAUUUGUAUUCAGAAACAUAUUUUCAAAGAAAGGGAUGAAGGGGAAGUCUGUUGGAGGGAUGAAUUACUAUGCUUGUCUUUCCAUUAUGUCUCUUUUGAUUCUUACACCCUUUGCCAUUGCUGUGGAGGGUCCACAAGUAUGGGCACUUGGUUGGCAGAAUGCAGUCUCACAAAUUGGUCCUAAUUUUGUAUGGUGGGUUGUGGCCCAGAGUGUGUUCUAUCAUUUGUACAAUCAAGUCUCCUACAUGUCCCUAAAUGAGAUCUCCCCAUUGACAUUUAGCAUUGGUAACACUAUGAAGAGAAUUUCAGUCAUAGUUUCCUCCAUCAUCAUAUUCCAAAACCCAAUUCAACCAGUGAAUGCCCUUGGUGCGGCCAUUGCAAUUUUUGGAACUUUCCUCUACUCACAGGUAAAAAUACAUUCAUAUGUUUUGUAUUGUUGUCAAUGUCAAUGACUUUUCAUUGUUAGUCUGGUACCUAUGUUGCUUGUACUCUCCGAAAAUAUAGCCAGGUGCGAGUCGUAUCCUCCAAAAGUAGUGCAUUUUUGGAGGAUCUGACACGGGUACGACAACAUUUUGGAGAGUCCGUGCAAUGCAGCUGGGACCAAUAAAGAUCCAAAUGAAUCUAGCACAUUUACAACUUGUUGCUUGUUUUCAUCCUUGGCAAAGCAGUAAGAGAAGUUUGGCUAGAGAGUUAAGUGGAGAAAGGGGAGAUACUGACUUGAGCCGUUAGGAAUUAAAAGAUGGGCAGCAGUGGACUAACAUUUUGUAAUAGAAGAUUGACAUUGACUUUUAAAAUAACUAUAGUAAAUAUAAGAGGCAAAUGAUCAUGAAUGAAUGACUAUGGCUUUCUUAGUGAUGGAAAAGUUGAGAAAAGAAAUUAGUGCUGCCCUUUCCCAGCUGCAAACUUCUACACAAGAUUUUGUACUAUAUAGCACUGUUGUAUGAAGUGCUUGUAAUGAUUAAUUUAUUAUUCCUUAUUAUGAUUGUAGAUUUUGUAAUAUACUCAUAUAUAUGUUUUUUUUUUAUGUG
RNA transcript from Nicotiana attenuata, 1920 nucleotides. It is a transcript of the gene named glucose-6-phosphate/phosphate translocator 2, chloroplastic-like, with no coding region annotated. The transcript is spliced from 5 exons. The record is from RefSeq and is a predicted model, not a curated record. NCBI's taxonomy places the organism in Eukaryota, Viridiplantae, Streptophyta, Magnoliopsida, Solanales, Solanaceae.